AGUUAUAUGCUUGUCUCAAAGAUUAAGCCAUGCAUGUCUAAGUACAAGCAAAAAUAAAGUGAAACCGCAAAAGGCUCAUUAUAUCAGUUAUGGUUCCUUAGAUCGUAUCCACAUUUACUUGGAUAACUGUGGUAAUUCUAGAGCUAAUACAUGCAUUUAAAGAGAAACCAGUAAAAUGGGAUCUCUGCUUUUAUUAGAUUUAAACCAAUGGGGAAUGUCGUUUCGCGACGGCAUUCUCAAAUUAAAAAUGGUUGAACUCUGGAUAAUUUGUUGAUCGCAUGGUCUUGUACCGGCGACAGAUCUUUCAAAUGUCUGCCCUAUCAACUAUUGAAGGUAGUGUCUUGGACUACCUUGGUUGCAACGGGUAACGGGGAAUCAGGGUUCGAUUCCGGAGAGGGAGCCUGAGAAACGGCUACCACAUCUAAGGAAGGCAGCAGGCGCGUAAAUUACCCACUCCCGGCACGGGGAGGUAGUGACGAAAAAUAACAAUACAAGACUCACAUCCGAGGCCUUGUAAUUGGAAUGAGUACACUUUAAAUCCUUUAGCAAGGAUCAAUUGGAGGGCAAGUCUGGUGCCAGCAGCCGCGGUAAUUCCAGCUCCAAUAGCGUAUAUUAAAGUUGUUGCGGUUAAAACGUUCGUAGUUGAACUUGUGUUUCGCACGGGCAGUACCUAGGACUAGGUAACUAGGACGGUACUUUGUCUUAUCUUUCCAUAAUUUUUCAUCGGAUUAUUUGGGAAAAGUGCGUGAACGUAUUAUCGGCGUACUAUAACAAUAGUAAAUAACACGCAAAUUGUGCAAUGUGUGAAAACACUUGUAUAUUUUUGUUGUGUUAUUAUUAUUUGUUGUGUACAUAAGCCCAUUUCAGUGCUCUUCAUCGAGUGUUGCUGUGGGCCGAUACAAAUUACUUUGAACAAAUUAGAGUGCUUAAAGCAGGCUCAUAAUGCCUGAAUAUUUUGUGCAUGGAAUAAUGAAAUAGGACAUCUGUUCUACUUUCAUUGGUUUUUUAGACCAAGAUGUAAUGAUUAAUGGAAGCAGUUGGGGGCAUUAGUAUUACAACGCGAGAGGUGAAAUUCUUAGACCGUUGUAAGACUGACUAAAGCGAAAGCAUUUGCCAAAGAUGUUUUCAUUUAAUCAAGAACGAAAGUUAGAGGUUCGAAGGCGAUC
This 1166-nucleotide ribosomal RNA is filed under the name Paleoplatyura johnsoni. Its description in RNAcentral is "bacterial SSU rRNA". It matches the Rfam family "Eukaryotic small subunit ribosomal RNA", at positions 21 to 1009 of the family's 1831-position model. The record is from RNAcentral. Lineage: Eukaryota; Metazoa; Arthropoda; Insecta; Diptera; Keroplatidae.